UUUGAUCCUGGCUCAGGAUGAACGCUAGCGGCAGGCUUAACACAUGCAAGUCGAGGGGUAACAGGUUUUAGUUUACUAGAAUGCUGACGACCGGCGCACGGGUGAGUAACGCGUAUACAAUUUACCUUUUACAGGAGAAUAGCCCAGAGAAAUUUGGAUUAAUGCUCCAUGGUAUUAUUUUAUGGCAUCAUAGAAUAAUUAAAGUUCCGACGGUAAGAGAUGAGUAUGUGUCCUAUUAGCUAGAUGGUAAGGUAACGGCUUACCAUGGCGACGAUAGGUAGGGGUCCUGAGAGGGAGAUCCCCCACACUGGUACUGAGACACGGACCAGACUCCUACGGGAGGCAGCAGUGAGGAAUAUUGGGCAAUGGAGGCAACUCUGACCCAGCCAUGCCGCGUGCAGGAAGACUGCCCUAUGGGUUGUAAACUGCUUUUAUACAGGAAGAAACCACUCUACGUGUAGAGUGCUGACGGUACUGUACGAAUAAGGACCGGCUAACUCCGUGCCAGCAGCCGCGGUAAUA
This 522-nucleotide ribosomal RNA is filed under the name uncultured bacterium. Its description in RNAcentral is "bacterial SSU rRNA". It matches the Rfam family "Bacterial small subunit ribosomal RNA", at positions 12 to 525 of the family's 1533-position model. The record is from RNAcentral.